CACAAUGUCUUAUCCACGAUCCAGAAGCUUUUUGGGAGUGUUCGGAUGACCACAUUUUGCUGCUCUCCCCCUCCCAGCACACUCACCUUGCCUGUCCUGGGAGGAGAGCCUUGCUCCUAGCCCCUGCGUCCAGCAGCACAUCCAGGAUGGUUCCUGGAUCCAGGAUGCGAUUACAUAAACUCCACAUUAAUAAAAAGCUGUUGCUGAAUGUCUUGAAGAUUCAUUCAUUCAUUUGUUCAUUUAUUGAAGGAUUAAUCAAAACAGGCAUAAUUUAUUACAUACUGGAAUUAAAGAGCACACAAAAACAUCCCUCCCCCUGGUCUCCCAUUUAUAAGCUAAAUCAGAGUCACAGAAAUUGCUGGGGGAAGUGGGGGCAGUCUGUGCACUUGGGAGCCGGUGAGAUGGGGCCGCGUGGUCCUCAGAGAGGAGGGCUCAGAGGAGGGAGGGGAGAGACUCGAGAACUGCUUGCAGAGAGUGGGCCUCAGGGGUGUGACCCGAGGUGCGCUGAAAUUAGCUGGAAAUUUAGAGGGAGAUUCACAAAGGGGAAGAAGAAGAUACGGAGGACAAAUGUCACAUACCAGGCAAUUUUGCCCCGUCUGUCUCUUAAGUGAGGGACUCACUUAAUAGGACUUGCUUUUUCUUCCUGAAUCCACCUCUGGAGUUUGGCCCCCUUUGAGUGGUUCUGCUAAUAGGACAUUGUUCAUGGCCACCUGCCUAGGAGACUACCUAGGAAUUUAUUGGGCAAAUUUCUUUGAUGCUUGACUAGAGUCAAUCUGAGCAAAUUCCUAAAUGUUGGACCUGAAAACACUAUUCUCAGGGUCAGCAGGCACUGCCAGUCGCCACUUUCCCUACCAGAGACUUGCAAUAGUACUUGCACAUCUCUUCAUCCACUAAGCACAUGCCUAGUUGGCCUAUGAGGUCGUCUAGCCCUUGUAACCUUGUCUUUGAGAGGAUUUCUAGAGAGUACCAAGCAAGAAUCUUCUGCAGCCUAGGAGGUGGGAAGGCAAGGUGGAUGAGCUCCCAACUUCUUUGUUGGCAUUAAUUCUGCCCCUCCCCUCUAGCCUCUUCCUUUCUCUCUUUAUCUCCUUUCCCCAUCUCUUCCCCCACUGGCCUCACUCCCAUCCUGGCCAAAUGGAUUGGGGAGGAGGGGACGGUCAGGCCAGGGAAAUUCAGUCUUUAUUUUCUCUCUAUAGUAAGCCCUGAGGUUCCUCCAUGGAAGCAGAUGUGAAAUUACACCCAAAGGUUGAUGAAGUCAUUCAGUUUCACAAGUCAGCUCAGUCUGGAAUGGAUCAGCUGGGUGAAGUGACCCUCUCUGCGGCACCAUCCCCAGGCACCUUCUGUGUCUUGGAGCAAAGAUGUGGCUCACAAAGUGAGCAGCCCCUGCCUCUCACGCCUGUGCGAGAAAGACUCAGCCUGGGCUGGAGGUGCUGGAGACUAAGUGGUGAGGUGAAAGGAAGGUCUUAGCUCUUCCAGAGGUGGAUGGUUAGAACUCAGCCUCUCUCACUCCAAAAACACUUAAGAUGAAAAUUUUAUUUUUUAUUUUUAUUUUUUUAUUCUUUUGAGGAAGAUUAGCCCUGAGCUAACUACUGCCAGUCCUCCUCUUUUUGCUGAGGAAGCCUGGCCCUGAGCUAACAUCCAUGCCCAUCUUCCUCUACUUAUAUGGGGGACGCCUACCAUAGCAUGGCGUGCCAAGCAGUGCCAUGUCCACACCUGGGAUCCGAACCGGCGAACCCCGGGCCGCUGAGAAGCGGAGCGUGUGACCUUAACCGCUGCACCACCGGGCCGGCCCCUAGAUGAAAAUGUUAAAUUAUGCAACAUUCCCACUUUACAAAACACUUGGAAAAUAGAGAAUAGGUCAAGAAAAGAAAAAUCCACCUGUAAUUUCAUCACCCUAUUACAAUUACUCUUAGUAUUCCGAAAAGUUUUAGUUAUUAAUUCAGGUUGGCAUUGCAGUGGGCACACAGGGCCAAUGUGAAGGUACCCGCAAAGUCUAGAUUUUAAAAAAGCCUGCCUUCUGAGAAGAAAAUUAGGAAAAAUUGUUGCGAUCAUAGCCCUCCAUAGAAACGGCCCAAUCCAUGACACUGUCUGAAAUAUUUCAGCUUUCUUAUCUGCAAAAUGGCAAUAAUACUUGAAUUCCCUUCCUUUCGGAGUUACCGAGAGACUAAAAUGAAACGAUUUCCUCAGCAUCAUCCCUUCCUGAACCACUGAACAGCUCCUCUGCUUCUCCCAUCAGAAGUCAGAGUUGAUCUGAGUUGUGUCCAUCUCAAAAUUCCUGUGCUGAGAUCCUAACCCCAGAAUGUGCCCUUAUUUGGAAAUAGGGUCAUCGCAGAUGUAACUAGUUAAGAUGAGGUCAUACUGGAGUAGGGUGGGCCCCCGAUCCAAAAUCACUGAUGUCCUUAUCAAGGGGGGAAAUUUGGAGACAGAUGCACAGAGAGGGAAGACGAUGUGAAGAGACACGGGGGGAAGAUGGCCAUCAACAAGCCCAGGAGAGAGGCCUGGAGUGAACCCUUCCCUCACAGCCCUCAGAAGGACCCAAUCUUACCCACACCUUGAUUUCAGACUUCUAGCUUCCAGAACGGUGAGACAAUAAAUUUCUCUCAAGUCACCCAGUUUGUGGUACUUUGUUAUGUCAGCAGACUAACGCACUCUUCUUGUAGGAGAUGCUUUUACUUAUGUGUGAUUAGUUCUGGAGGAGGAACUUCCUGGAGGCGGGCAGGUUAGUGACAUGGCCUCUCACACGGGGCAGCUGGAUCCAGGCUGCCGAGGCCCACCUGACAUCCAACAAGGUUGGUGACACUCAGGUGAGGCCUGGGAUGUUUGGAAGACAGUUUCCCUCCAUCUCUGGCACAGACUGAUUCUGGCCUAGAAUAACCCAUGUUACCCUCCCCCACUGGAACUAGACUGCCGCUCCUCAGACUAUGAUGGGCGGGCGUAAUACUUUCUUGAGAUUUUGCUUCAUCAGAACUUCCUCUGGCCGGAGUCAAGUCAGUUGUGAACCAUCGAUUAUGCAAACCUGCAAACUACCAGCUACAGGGGGUGAUAAAGGAUGCAGAACGUGGACAGAGCUCCACAGAAGUGGACUGGCUUUUCCUUUUCCAAGGCAGACCCAGGGGAGAUACAGAUAGGACAUCUUAUCCCAGAGUCCUUUGGCCUUUUCUCGUGGUUAAUUUAACAUUCCUCGGUUUCUGCCAAGAGAAUUCUCACUGUGAAGAAGAGAGCAGCUGGGUUAAGCAUCAGAAUGUAGUUUAGGGGUGGGAAGACAGGAGCAGAGAGUUAAACAGCAAGGGCAGACCAUGGGGAACUCAAAUACAGACAAGAUAUUACACGAUAUGGAAUUACUGCUGAUUUUAUUAGGGGCAGUAAUGGUACUGGAGUUCUGUAGGGAAUUGUUCUUAUUCUCCUCAAGGAGAGGGAGAAAAGAAGAGAGGAAGAAAAAGAAGAAAGCAAAUACAGCAAAGGGGAAUUUUUGAAUCUAGGUGUAAGGUAUAUAACUAUCGUUGUACCAUCCUUAUGACUUUUCUGUAUGCUUACAUUUUUUCAUUAAAAUGUUAGAGGUGGGGAAGAAAAAAGGAAUAAAAAAGUCCUGGGCAGAGACAUGAGAGGAACCAAGAGAGAAUUCAGAAGAAGGACAGAAUUUGGAAACAGAGGUGGGAAAAAGGCUCUGGAACGGGAAAAAGGGGAAAGCGCAGGGGAACACAGGGUUGGUCAUUCCUUCAGUUCCUCUGUGACCAGAGGAAGUUCUGAUGAAACGCGAAAAACCUCAACAAAAUCACCUCCAAUUUCUGUUUACACUUUGAUACUGCGGCAGGAGACUGGAAAUGCAAGCUUCUUUUACAAGAAUACUCACUUCGUGGCCAGUUUGCUGAGAUGCCGGGACGGGGCCGGGCAUCUGGCCCCAAGGCCAGCCCAUCCGCCAGCUAAACUGUGAAUUGGCUGCGAUCAUUUUGUAGAUAAGAGUGGCCCCUAGAAGUAAAAUUAAGCAGAAGACACUGGUCAAGACAGAGAUGAGCAGAGCGCCGUGAGAGGCAGAGCUGAAGGAACCAGAAGCCCUGGGCGCGCGCAGAGGGGCCUCCCUUCCGUCCAUCCGGCUCCAUCCGCUGCGCCCUGUUUCCUGCCCUUGAAUCUAAGAAGCCGCGAGCGCCGGCUGUGUCCGGACAGCGCCUCCUGCCCGCCCACCCUCUUCGGGCUGAACUAGCUGUUUUUUUGCAAACCCAAAUCGCCUGGCCUGGAGCAGCGUCUCGUCCUUACUCGUGGAGCGACCCAGCCCUCUCGCUUCCCUGGGCUGCCAGAAGACUGGACCCACCCACACUUGUCGUAUCCCCAUCGGCACGGAUUGAAACUGUUUUGUUCACGGCUGUGGUUCUGGCCCCAGCGCCAUUCCUGGCGUGUAAUAAGCGCUCAAAGACCGUCUUUGAGCGAGUGAAAUGCAUCGCCCCCAACCUGGGCUGGGCGCUGGGAGCCUUUUCCCAGCAAAUUUUUACCUGUCCUUGCUCUGGUCUCUCUCCUUCCAAUUGCUCCGGGCACCCACCCCCCGGCGCUCGCUCCUGUCAGUCAUAAUAGCUGACACUUACCGGGCGCACGUUAUGGGCCAAGCGCUGUUCUGCGUGUUUUACGUGUUAACUCCUUUAAUCCUCCUGAACCCUCGGAAGCAGAUCCUGUCAUUAGCACGCCUAUUUUACAGACAGAUGGACGUCCCGGGGAGGACGUGAUGCUAGUAGCAGGCCUCAGCCAGUGACGGAUGGGACUCGGAGCUCCCCAGCUCCCUUACUCCGUGGGAAACAGCCAUUACCUGGACUCUGUAACCCUGCCGCUGGAUGCCUAGUGAAGUCAUUUGACACGGACAGUGUGUGGAGGCAAGGUCUCUAAAUCUCCAGCUGAGCUACGAUGACACAGAAGCUCAUCCCGACACAGUAGAUUCUUUUGUGUUUAUCGACUCUGCACAUGAGUGUGAAGACGACAAGUAAUGUCACUGUGUUCGGUUAUUACCUUCUCCUCCAAGAGGCAGCAAGAAGGAAGACUUAGCUCACCAGCCCGGGUCCAAACAACAAGAAAAAAUAUUUCAGCAUUAUUCACAAUGGCCAGGACAUGGAAGCAACCUAAGUGCCCAUUGAUGGAUGAAUGGAUAAAGAAGUUGUG
Molecule: long non-coding RNA, 5136 nt
Filed under: Equus caballus (horse)
Lineage: Eukaryota; Metazoa; Chordata; Mammalia; Perissodactyla; Equidae
Description: lncRNA (ENSECAG00000058689.1)
Source: RNAcentral